UACGUAGGGACCAAGCGUUGUUCGGAUUUACUGGGCGUAAAGCGUGCGCAGGCGGUCUCGUCAGCUGGGUGUGAAAGCCCCGGGCUUAACCUGGGAAUGGCAUUCAGGACUGCGAGGCUCGAGUGUGGCAGAGGGAGGUGGAAUUCCACGUGUAGCAGUGAAAUGCGUAGAGAUGUGGAGGAACACCGAUGGCGAAGGCAGCCUCCUGGGCCAGCACUGACGCUCAUGCACGAAAGCGUGGGGAGCAAACGGG
RNAcentral lists this ribosomal RNA (253 nucleotides) under uncultured bacterium. RNAcentral's name for it is "partial 16S ribosomal RNA". It matches the Rfam family "Bacterial small subunit ribosomal RNA", at positions 524 to 776 of the family's 1533-position model. The record is from RNAcentral.